This 1408-nucleotide long non-coding RNA is filed under the name Ananas comosus (pineapple). RNAcentral's name for it is "long non-coding RNA (ACOM_LNC019151)". The record is from RNAcentral. Lineage: Eukaryota; Viridiplantae; Streptophyta; Magnoliopsida; Poales; Bromeliaceae.
UUAAUUUCGUACAUAUAUAUAUAUUUAUAGAGUUGGACUGGGCCACUAUUAGUAGCAAAAUUCCAUUAUUGCUACCAGUUUUUUACCCUUCGGAUCAACUCUUUUCAUUAUUUCUAACCAUUGGAUUAAAUACUAUAACCCAGUAGGGACCACUCAACCCUAGCUGGACCACUCAACUCUAACCGACUAAUGUCAUCUUGAUCAUACAAUUUUUCAUCCAAGCAUUAAAAACUUGAUAGUAAAAAAAGCGUUUUACUAUUAAUAGUAUUCCAGCCUAAUUCUAUAUAUAUAUAUAUAUAUAUAUAUAUGGUGAAUGACAAACAUAUCUCUACAAAGUUCAACUUUCAUAUAUUAUUUUUAUAAAAAUUUUAAUAUUUUCAAAUAUGUCCUUCUAAUUUAUUAUUGUUAGAGAACUGUUUGUAUUUUUAAUUUUGUCAUCACAAAUAUACCGCUCCAAAAAUAAUAAUAUUAUAAUAUAAGAGGGAUAAAAAUGUUAAAAACUAAUCAGGGUAAAAUAUUUAAUCUAUAAUUAACUAAAUUUUUCUGACGAAUUCUAAUGGCAUGAACAUAUUUGAAAAUAUCAAAAUUUUUAUAAAAGCAACAUAUACAAGUUAAACUUUAAAAGUAUAAAUUUGUUAAUCAUUAUAUUUGCGGGGAUCUGUAUGAAAUUAGUCCUUAAUAAUUUAUGUUGGACACAUUUCUUGUGUCGGGUCUUGAGACAUUUUGGCUUGGAGCGUCACGUGGACUUUUAUUUGAUACAAUAUGAAAACAUGCAUCCACUAUAUAUAACUAGAAACUUGAACUUUGGGGAAUAAGUAUUUUUUACGAGUUAAAUAAUAAGAAUAAUUUCAUACAGCUUUCUAUAAAUAUAUAUUCAAUAGUAGAUAUAUUUUUAGACAGAUUAACUUAUCAUAUUUAUCAUUUAAAAAAUUUUAACGGUUUUAAAUAUAUUCCUACUGUUAGUGUCCGUUAAAAAUAUAUAAUUAAUCAUAGAUAAAAUAUUUAACCUUGAUUAGUGAAUGAGAUAAAUUAAUUUUUUUACUUCCUUGCUAUUAUAUCUUUUUCUCUCGAUCAAAAUUUUAGUUCAAUCAAAAACCCUAACAAUGAAACACCUCUUCCUCUUCCUCUUUCUCAUUCUCUCUGUCAUUCAUUCUAGUUUCGAACUCGUAACUAAAAUUUCUCCGUUCCCAAUCAUUCAUGACACAUGUUGCUUCAUUCAUGUCGAGCGCCGGAGAAUCAGUAUUAAAUAGGUAGAGAAGAAAAAAAGUAAGAGAACAAACAGAAAAGAGAUUGUAACAAUAAUAAAUUAGAUUAGUUUUUAUAUAGGAAGAAGAUGACUAUUAGAAUUUUUUGAAAGAACAUACAUAUAUUAUUUUUUGAAAGAACAUACAUAUAUUUCUAGCAUUUG